AGAGUUUGAUCCUGGCUCAGGAUGAACGCUAGCGGCAGGCUUAACACAUGCAAGUCGAGGGGCAGCGGAUCUUUUCGGAGAUGCCGGCGACCGGCGCACGGGUGAGUAACACGUAUGCAACCUACCUACAAUCGGGAGAUAGCCCGGAGAAAUUCGGAUUAAUACCCCAUAGUAUUUUAUCAAGGCAUCUUGAUAAUCUUAAAACUACGGUGAUUAUAGAUGGGCAUGCGCAACAUUAGUUAGUUGGUAAGGUAACGGCUUACCAAGACGAUGAUGUUUACGGGGUCUAAAAGGAUGGUCCCGCACACCGGUACUGAGACACGGACCGGACUCCUACGGGAGGCAGCAGUGAGGAAUAUUGGUCAAUGGGCGCAAGCCUGAACCAGCCAUGCCGCGUGAAGGAUGACAGCCCUACGGGUUGUAAACUUCUUUUGUACGAGAAGAAAACGUUCUACGUGUAGAGCACUGACGGUAUCGUACGAAUAAGCAUCGGCUAACUCCGUGCCAGCAGCCGCGGUAAUACGGAGGAUGCAAGCGUUAUCCGGAUUUAUUAGGUUCAAAGGGUCCGCAGGCGGACCGGUAAGUCAGAGGUGAAAUCCCGAAGCUCAACUUCGGAACUGCCUUUGAUACUGUCGGUCUUGAGUACGGUUGAGGUAGGCGGAAUGUGCAGUGUAGCGGUGAAAUGCUUAGAUAUUGCACAGAACACCGAUUGCGAAGGCAGCUUACUAAACCGUUACCGACGCUGAUGGACGAAAGCGCGGGGAGCGAACAGGAUUAGAUACCCUGGUAGUCCGCGCCGUAAACGAUGAUUACUCGUUGUGCACGAUACACAGUGCGUGACUGAGCGAAAGCAUUAAGUAAUCCACCUGGGGAGUACGUUCGCAAGAAUGAAACACAAAGGAAUUGACGGGGGCCCGCACAAGCGGAGGAACAUGUGGUUUAAUUCGAUGAUACGCGAGGAACCUUACCCGGGCUUAAAUGCAGGAUGACCGUUGCCGAAAGGCGAUUUCCCUUCGGGGCAAUUUGCAAGGUGCUGCAUGGCUGUCGUCAGCUCGUGCCGUGAGGUGUCGGGUUAAGUCCCAUAACGAGCGCAACCCCUAUCGUUAGUUGCCAGCGGAUAAUGCCGGGGACUCUAAUGAGACUGCCACCGUAAGGUGAGAGGAAGGUGGGGAUGACGUCAAGUCAGCACGGCCCUUAUGUCCGGGGCUACACACGUGUUACAAUGGCAAGUACAAAGAGCAGCGAGAGGGUGACCUUAAGCAAAUCUCGUAAAACUUGUCUUAGUUCGGAUCGAGGUCUGCAACUCGACUUCGUGAAGUUGGAUUCGCUAGUAAUCGUAUAUCAGCAACGAUACGGUGAAUACGUUCCCGGGCCUUGUACACACCGCCCGUCAAGCCAUGGAAGCUGGGGGUGCCUGAAGUCUGUAACCGGAAGGAGCGGCCUAGGGUAAAACCGGUAACUGGGGCUAAGUCGUAACAAGGUA
This 1483-nucleotide ribosomal RNA is filed under the name metagenome. RNAcentral's name for it is "bacterial SSU rRNA". It matches the Rfam family "Bacterial small subunit ribosomal RNA". The record is from RNAcentral.